Colletes gigas is the source of this 354-nucleotide long non-coding RNA. RefSeq lists it as uncharacterized. The record is from RefSeq and is a predicted model, not a curated record. The transcript is spliced from 3 exons. NCBI's taxonomy places the organism in Eukaryota, Metazoa, Arthropoda, Insecta, Hymenoptera, Colletidae.
GCGAGCGGGAAAGAGAAGUCCGAGCCGGGCUGCGUCGGAGUGUAUUGUCGCGCACACUGUGAAAGAACCCUGUUCGUGAGCAAGUACCGAAAGCCGAAGGGUGGGCAGUACGUCUCUCGUGGAGAUCGAGUGGCCGUUUCAGGGAUCGGCCCGAAGAAUUAUGUUCCAGAGUCGUCGACGACAAGCUAGUGUGCCUCGGAGCCCCCAAGAUGUGCCUACAGGUUACGACGGCCCUGAGUAUGUCGACUAAAGCAAGUUUCAGCUUCAGUCCUGACGACCAACGUUCAUUCCAAGAUAUUUGCGGUCGUCGGAUGGAAGGCACCCCGAAAUAAUAUUGAAAUUUCCCGAAAGGCC